GACGAACGCUGGCGGCGUGCCUAAUACAUGCAAGUAGAACGCUGAAGAGAGGAGCUUGCUCUUCUUGGAUGAGUUGCGAACGGGUGAGUAACGCGUAGGUAACCUGCCUGGUAGCGGGGGAUAACUAUUGGAAACGAUAGCUAAUACCGCAUAAAAUUGAUUAUUGCAUGAUAAUUAAUUGAAAGAUGCAAUUGCAUCACUACCAGAUGGACCUGCGUUGUAUUAGCUAGUUGGUGAGGUAACGGCUCACCAAGGCGACGAUACAUAGCCGACCUGAGAGGGUGAUCGGCCACACUGGGACUGAGACACGGCCCAGACUCCUACGGGAGGCAGCAGUAGGGAAUCUUCGGCAAUGGGGGGAACCCUGACCGAGCAACGCCGCGUGAGUGAAGAAGGUUUUCGGAUCGUAAAGCUCUGUUGUAAGAGAAGAACGGGUGUGAGAGUGGAAAGUUCACACUGUGACGGUAUCUACCAGAAAGGACG
This 483-nucleotide ribosomal RNA is filed under the name Streptococcus sanguinis. RNAcentral describes it as "bacterial SSU rRNA". It matches the Rfam family "Bacterial small subunit ribosomal RNA", at positions 28 to 494 of the family's 1533-position model. The record is from RNAcentral. Lineage: Bacteria; Bacillati; Bacillota; Bacilli; Lactobacillales; Streptococcaceae.